GAUUGUAUAGCUUAUAAAGAGCAUGGCAGUGAAGUUGUUAAGGAGUUAGGUUUAACUACAAUCA
Molecule: transfer RNA, 64 nt
Filed under: Sypharochiton sinclairi
Lineage: Eukaryota; Metazoa; Mollusca; Polyplacophora; Chitonida; Chitonidae
Description: tRNA-Phe
Source: RNAcentral